RNAcentral lists this unclassified non-coding RNA (1639 nucleotides) under Drosophila yakuba. RNAcentral's name for it is "GE23859". The record is from RNAcentral. Lineage: Eukaryota; Metazoa; Arthropoda; Insecta; Diptera; Drosophilidae.
AUGCCCGAUGUUUUUUUACAUCACUAGUCACUUUGUUAAUCAAAAUAUUAGAAAAAACUCCAUUUCCGCCUCGAAAGUGCAUUUCGCGAUCGCGCAAAAGUGUUAAUAAGCGCGCGACUCGUUUGUUGAUCUUAAAAGCGCUAGCAGGCGAUGAAAAUCACGCAGAAAGCCAUCGUUUUUUCUUCUUAAACUUUUACUUACGGCAGACACGCACACGCACGCAGUUCACCGACGCACUCGCACACACACAACUACACGCACGCGGAGAGCAGAGCAGCAAGAGGAAGAAGAAGCAAAUCAUCAAACUUAAAAAUUGCGAGAUUCCUUGGCACCGGCUAGCCGUGACUGAGAGGAGGAGGAAUUGCACCCGCCCGGCACACAGCACACAGCAUGUUCAGUGAACAUGGGCGGAUUCCUGGAUAAGCCGAAAACCGCCAAGCACAAUGACGAGGGCGAGGGCAACAAGCUGCUCUUCGGGGUCAGCUCGAUGCAGGGAUGGCGGUCGGAGAUGGAGGACGCCUACUACGCUCGUGCCGGGCUGGGGGAUGCCCUGCCGGACUGGAGCUUCUUUGCUGUGUUCGACGGACAUGCCGGAUGCAAGGUGUCGGAGCACUGUGCCAAGCACCUUCUGCAGAGCAUUAUCAGCACCGAGGAGUUCAUUGGUGGCGACCACGUGAAGGGCAUUCGCACCGGCUUCCUGCGCAUCGACGAGGUCAUGCGGGAGCUGCCGGAAUUCACCCGGGAGUCGGAGAAAUGCGGCGGAACCACCGCCGUGUGCGCCUUUGUCAGCCUCACGCAAGUGUACAUCGCCAAUUGUGGUGAUUCCAGGGCAGUGCUGUGUCGCCAGGGAGUUCCUGUGUUCGCCACGCAGGAUCACAAACCCAUUCUGCCGGAGGAGAAAGAACGCAUCUACAACGCGGGUGGCAGUGUGAUGAUAAAACGCGUAAACGGCACCCUGGCCGUGUCAAGAGCCCUUGGCGAUUACGACUUCAAGAACGUGAAGGAGAAGGGACAGUGUGAGCAGUUGGUAUCGCCAGAACCGGAGAUAUUCUGUCAGAGCCGCCAGGAUAGCGAUGAGUUCCUGGUGCUCGCUUGCGACGGAAUUUGGGAUGUGAUGACCAACGAGGACGUGUGCAGCUUCAUCCACUCGCGAAUGCGAGUGACCAGUAACCUAGUGAGCAUCGCCAACCAGGUGGUGGACACCUGCCUGCACAAGGGUAGCCGCGAUAACAUGAGCAUCAUCAUCAUUGCUUUCCCCGGAGCUCCGAAGCCCACCGAGGAGGCGAUAGAGGCUGAACAUCGGCUGGAGAAGCAAAUCGAGAAGAUCACAAGAGACGAGAUUGAGUCUAGCAAGAUAACCGACUACGUGGAUCUGCUGAAGUGUCUGCAGAACAGAGACGACAUCGAAGGUCUUCCACCCGGAGGCGGUCUGCAGUCCAAAUAUCACGUUAUCGAGCGUACAUUCAAGCAAGAGUUUCCGGAUCGACCAUGUGAACUGUAUGCAUACGAUGAUAUAUGAAUUUUGUAAUGCUAAUUGUUCAUUUUUAAACCAACCAACCAACAACCAACCAGCAAGAGAACAAUGAUAACUAAACACCCUAUGCUUCACAUACUCUAAAUACUUGGGCGUACCGCAUGU